RNAcentral lists this ribosomal RNA (256 nucleotides) under uncultured bacterium. RNAcentral describes it as "partial 16S ribosomal RNA". It matches the Rfam family "Bacterial small subunit ribosomal RNA", at positions 524 to 776 of the family's 1533-position model. The record is from RNAcentral.
UACGUAGGCAGCGAGCGUUGUUCGGAGUUACUGGGCGUAAAGGGUGUGUAGGCGGUUGUUUAAGUUUGGUGUGAAAUCUCCCGGCUCAACUGGGAGGGUGCGCCGAAUACUGAAUGACUUGGAGUGCGGGGAGAGGUGAGUGGAAUUCCUGGUGUAGCGGUGAAAUGCGUAGAUAUCAGGAGGAACACCGGUGGUGUAGACGGCUCACUGGACCGUAACUGACGCUGAGACACGAAAGCGUGGGUAGCAAAACAGG